CCGACGGUGAGGGGCGAAAGCUGGGGGAGCAAACCGGAUUAGAUACCCGGGUAGUCCCAGCCGUAAACGAUGUGCGUUAGGUGUAUCGGUGACCACGAGUCACCGAGGUGCCGAAGAGAAAUCGUGAAACGUACCGCCUGGGAAGUACGGUCGCAAGGCUGAAACUUAAAGGAAUUGGCGGGGGAGCACCACAACAGGUGGAGCCUGCGGUUUAAUCGGACUCAACGCCGGGAAACUCACCAGAUAAGACAGCUGAAUGAUAGUCGGGCUGAAGACUCUACUUGACUAGCUGAGAGGAGGUGCAUGGCCGUCGUCAGUUCGUACUGUGAAGCAUCCUGUUAAGUC
RNAcentral lists this ribosomal RNA (345 nucleotides) under uncultured archaeon. RNAcentral describes it as "bacterial SSU rRNA". It matches the Rfam family "Archaeal small subunit ribosomal RNA", at positions 691 to 1035 of the family's 1478-position model. The record is from RNAcentral.